AGUGAACGCUGGCGGUAGGCCUAACACAUGCAAGUCGAACGGCAGCACAGUAAGAGCUUGCUCUUACGGGUGGCGAGUGGCGGACGGGUGAGGAAUACAUCAGAGUCUACUUUUUCGUGGGGGAUAACGUAGGGAAACUUACGCUAAUACCGCAUACGACCUACGGGUGAAAGCAGGGGAUCUUCGGACCUUGCGCGAUUGAAUGAGCCGAUGUCGGAUUAGCUAGUUGGCGGGGUAAAGGCCCACCAAGGCGACGAUCCGUAGCUGGUCUGAGAGGAUGAGCAGCCACACUGGAACUGAGACACGGUCCAGACUCCUACGGGAGGCAGCAGUGGGGAAUAUUGGACAAUGGGCGCAAGCCUGAUCCAGCCAUACCGCGUGGGUGAAGAAGGCCUUCGGGUUGUAAAGCCCUUUUGUUGGGAAAGAAAAGCAGCAGGUUAAUACCCCGCUGUUCUGACGGUACCAAAAGAAUAAGCACCGGCUAACUUCGU
RNAcentral lists this ribosomal RNA (491 nucleotides) under uncultured bacterium. RNAcentral describes it as "partial 16S ribosomal RNA". It matches the Rfam family "Bacterial small subunit ribosomal RNA", at positions 29 to 506 of the family's 1533-position model. The record is from RNAcentral.